CCUACCCUUCAAACUUCUGUCGCCCAGCUCCCUUCCGGCAGAAAGACCCAGGGACGAGAGUGUGAAGUCAGGCCUUACAGGAGCAAGAAGAAAGCCGUCCAAAGCCAGCUGGUCUGGCUUUGAGGAAUGCAAGGGAGAUAGAAAGCAAAAGAGAGAAAGAGUGAACGUGAGAGAGGAAGGCAGACAGAGAACAAGAGAGAAAAUUCAAGUAAUACCAGGGAAAUUAAGAAAGUAAGAGUGGCACAAAGAUACACGAGGAAGGCCUUAGCAGCAGGUUCUGUGAAGGUAAUCGAUCAUCGCAAGAAACAGGGCAUUUUACCCGAGCAGGAGAAAGCACCAGGAAGCUCCAAGUAGAGAGAAGCAUUGAAAGCAAAGGAAGAAAGAACGUAAAUAAGACUUGAGCUGGAUAUUUUGGGUCCAGGACCGAGGAUUGCGCUGCUUCGUUUGUUAGGAUCGUGGUGUGGACACCUGAAGAAAAAGAAGCAGAAAGAAAGCGAGUGAGAGACAAAGACUCGAGAAGAAAGAGUGAAGUACAAUGUGCUAGGGGAGUGAAGGCAGACAAACUCUCGUGUUUUUCUGAUAUUCUCGGGGUGUCAGAGAGACCAAGCAGGACGCCAAGAUGGGACGGAAGAAGAUACAGAUCACACGGAUCAUGGAUGAGAGGAACCGGCAGGUCAGUAGCUCCUU
Long non-coding RNA from Sinocyclocheilus grahami, 687 nucleotides. RefSeq lists it as uncharacterized. Lineage: Eukaryota; Metazoa; Chordata; Actinopteri; Cypriniformes; Cyprinidae. The record is from RefSeq and is a predicted model, not a curated record. The transcript has 3 exons.